CCUACGGGUGGCUGCAGUGAGGAAUAUUGGGCAAUGGGCGCAAGCCUGACCCAGCCAUGCCGCGUGAAGGAUGAAUGCCCUAUGGGUUGUAAACUUCUUUUGUACGGGACGAAACUCCUGGUCGUGACCGGGAUUGACUGUACCGUACGAAUAAGCAUCGGCUAACUCCGUGCCAGCAGCCGCGGUAAUACGGAGGAUGCAGGAUUUAUCCGGAUUCAUUGGGUUUAAAGGGUGCUAGUAAGGCAUUGGUGAAAGCCUGCGGCUUAACCGUAGAAAUGCCAUUGAUACUGUUAGUCUUGAGUAUAGUUGAGGUGGGCGGAAUGUGUAAUGUAGCGGUGAAAUGCUUAGAUAUUACACAGAACACCAAUUGCGAAGGCAGCUCACUAAGCUGUUACUGACGCUGAGGCACGAAAGCGUGGGGAGCAAACAGGAUUAGAUACCCCAGUAGUC
Molecule: ribosomal RNA, 450 nt
Filed under: uncultured bacterium
Lineage: Bacteria
Description: partial 16S ribosomal RNA
Rfam family: Bacterial small subunit ribosomal RNA
Source: RNAcentral